RNAcentral lists this unclassified non-coding RNA (2762 nucleotides) under Centruroides sculpturatus (bark scorpion). Its description in RNAcentral is "serine/arginine-rich splicing factor 2-like, transcript variant X1". The record is from RNAcentral. Lineage: Eukaryota; Metazoa; Arthropoda; Arachnida; Scorpiones; Buthidae.
GCGAAUCGGGAACAUCGAUAGUAUCCCUCUUUACUUGGCAUUUUCGAAGAAGAACGCGGUAGGUCCGCCAUAUUUUAUCCCGAAAGAAAUUAACGAUUCGGAAGGUUUGCGAAGGUGUUCCGUUAUAUAUAAGAGUAUAAGAAAAUGAGUUAUGGUCGAGGGCCACCUACAAUCGACGGUAUGACAUCUUUAAAGGUUGAUAAUUUAACAUAUCGCACAACACCGGAUGAAUUGAAAAGAGUUUUCGAGAAAUAUGGCGACGUUGGCGAUAUCUAUAUUCCGCGUCAUCCUUACACGAGGGAAAGUCGCGGAUUCGCAUUUGUUCGAUUUUACGAUAAAAGAGAUGCCGAAGAUGCUAUGGAUAAUUUGGACGGGUUCGUUUUAGACGGAAGGGAAUUGAGAGUUCAAAUGGCUCGUUAUGGCCGUCCUAACGAGUCGUGGAGAGGUCCGAGUCGUAACAGAUACGGAUUCAAUCGUAGAACUAGAUCCAGAUCUAGAAGUCGAAGUUAUCGAAGAUCUAGAUCACGAUCUCGAUCCAGAAGAUCACGUUCUACAUCUCGUAGUAGAAGGCAUCGACGUUCAAGAAGUCGUUCCAGAAGACACAGGCGUAGUCGUGACGAUUCUAGAUCAGAAUCUCGUUCCCGAAGCCGGAGUAAAAGUAGAGGAAAAAGAAAGCAUAAGAGUCCUAGCAAAAGCCAAAGUAGAAGUAGGAGUCGGAGUGUUAGUAAAGAGAAGAAUGGUAGUGAAAAGAGAAGCAAGAGUAGAAGUAAGAGCAGAGAUGGUAGUCAGAGCCCUUGCGCAAGCAAGAGCCCUGCAAAGAGCGUCAGUCGUAGCAAGAGCCGUAGUAAGAGCAGAAGCAGAAGUCGAAGUCCAACCAAAAGCCGUAGCAGAAGCAAAAGUCGUAGUAGAAGCAGAAGUAGGAGUGCAGAAAAUAAUAAUAAUGCCAGAGAAAGCAGAAGCAGAAGUAAAUCACAAAGUCCAUAAUGAUUACAACUUGGAGUAAGCAUCAUGACAUUACAAGAAUCAUAAUUCCAGGCAGAAUAUUGUGCAUAACUCUGGAUUGUUCUUAUAAUUUGAAGGCGCAGUAGUGUUGCAGUUAAUGGUUCCUGUGCUGUCCUGUUCCUGUUGUUCCUGGUUCCUGUACCAGCUGAAUGCGGAUAUGUACCUGGCUGCCAGAUUUUAGGGCCCAGUGUGCAGUGCUGUUGUUGCUGUGGGAGCUGACAAGCAGGGCAUUUGCUGCCGAUCCUGUGUUCUGGAAAGGGGCUAAAUAGCACUGCGUAAAAUUCUUAUCCGCAAAUUUGUUUUGUUUUUUUUUUAAUUAAUUAAAUGUAGACAAUAUUAGAGAGUCCUGAUAUAAGAUAAAUUUUAAUAAUAUAUUUCUUAAAUUUCAAAGUUUAAAUAUAUAAUUUUGACCUUGAAUAGACAGCAUUUUUAAAUUUGAACCUAAAUAUCAAACAGCCUGAAUCAAAUAUGAUGAUUCUUAAUCUGGACUUUCCAAGUGUUUUUUCACAGGUGCAGUUGCUGCUGUAUUGUUCCUGCCGGUGACAAAAGUGCGAUAAAUUGUAUAAGCCUCCAAGGGAACUUCAUAUGUAAUUGUUCUUGAAAUCUUAAUUUGUAAAACAAUAUUAGUUUUGACUACUUACUAUAUAUAUAUUUCCUCUUUCUUCUUUAAACAUCCUAACAUUUACAAUUACAUUAAUUGUUGUAAAUGGAAAGAGAUUUUUGUAUAAUUUAACCUUAAAAAAUUUUAAAUUGGUUUUGACAUUUUCUCUUUCAAAUAUUUUAUUUCCUGUAACUUAUAUUUUUAUUAAUCCUGCUAAAAAUCUUAACAUGUUAACCCUUUAUUCAUUAUGCCUAAAUUUGCUUAAUUAUUAAUCACUAAUAAAAAUUGCAUUCUAUUGGGAAGUACUCAAUGGAAUUCUGUAAACAGUCUGAAAGCAUCUUAAAAUGCAUCUGUUUUUGAAACAAAGACAUAUCUCAAUUAUUUAUUUGGUCUGUGCAUAGUUUUCAUAUCUUGUUAAAAUAUAGGUCAACAUAGCUGUAAAAUUUAAUUAUAGAUUUAAUUUUCUCAUUACUUAAAUGGAAAAUACAAACAACUUUAUGUUCAUUUUAAUGAAUUCUCAAAUGUUGUUUUUUUUUUCCUUUUUUAAACUACUGCAUUUAGCUUUUAUUUUGCCAAAAGAUAUUGCAUUUUUCUUUCUCAAAGGUUUAGUUUAUUGUAAUUUCUUUACCUUCCCAAUAUCUAUAUAUUUUUACAAAAAAUUGUGGUAUGUUUUCUGUAAUUCAUUUGAAGAUGUAAAUAUUUGAAGAGGAAAAUAUAAUAAUUUGUUAUAAUUAAUGAGAAAUUGUUGUUUGAAUUCGUUAAAUGAGAAUCUAGCAGAAUUUAACAUGUAGGCUAUGUUUUAGAAAAGAAUUAAAACAUGAGAGAGUAAUUUCCUUUUAAUUUAUCCAUAUUAGAAUUAAUCUAGUUGAUUGUGUAGUAUAGUUAACAUUUUCAUUGUGAGUGUAACUUUGAAGAAUUUUGAAAUAUAUGCCAAUGGCUAACUGAACAAAAAUGAUGCAUUUUUCAGUUAGAAGUGAAUUACACCUAGCUUAAAAUUUGCUUCUUCUUUAAUGUUAUUUCAGACUAUUUAUUGCAGACCAAGUGAAUGACUUCCGAUAGUUUAACAUUUCAGGUUUCAACACGUCUAGCUAAAAUUUUUAGUUAAAAACUGGUCUACGAGUGCUCAAGGCAAAAUUAUUUGUCUUGGACUUAUAAAAAA